CUGACACCUAAGAGAUAAAAAAAAAUGGACAAACUUUAACAGGAACGUACAGCAUAAUGUGUAGGUUUUACCAAAUUCCUUUUGGAAUUAAGUAUUCACAAUGUAAAUUCAUUUACGUUGCCACCUCAGAUUUUACAUUUCCUAGCGGCUAUCCAAGCUUUUUAGUUGUAAAAAGGCCGAAAUCCGAGAUGAAAGGCCCUGCCUCACCACAGCCCCCUGCUGCAGCUCGCCGUUUCCUUUAUCGUCAUUUCUCUAGCUUUUCCCUUAAAGACUUGAAGAGAAACACUUCCACCAACAGCCUAGGGGAAGGCGGAUCAUUCUGAUGUGAAAAACAGGCGGCUUGUUUUCAAAGAUGGACCAUCUCACUGCUCUUCAGGAACCUAUCCCUGCCAUGCUGUCGUGCCCUGAACAAGCCCUCUUGUGACAGAAAAUGGGACCACAGCAAGCAAAAUCCAGACAUGAAGUUGUCUGGCCCACAAAACUGGAGUCUGGGAAGGGUUUCCAAGAAGUGCCAGAUUUAGGGGUGUUGUUGAGGCUGCUGACUGCCUCCAAAACUUGGCAGUGAGGCUGGACAGCGUGGGGAACCUCACGUAGCCACUCCUGGCCCCUCCUGCUACCUUGCCUCUUGACAGGCCUGGUUUUCUCUUCACCUCAGGCGUGCAAGGAUGGGGGGGCAGAAGGGAGAGACUCAGGGUACAGAGGCACAGAAAGAAGGAGGAAGGCAGUGAGGGAGGAGGAGAGCGACUCGAGCUUCAGUAACUUUACUGUCAGUGCCAGUAACCGCAAGUUGGUGACGUUACUGGUUUUCUUGUGAAUUACUGGAUGUUCUCAGCAUUCUCAGUCCACAAUGCAUACAAGGCCCUCUUAGGCCCAGUAACAUUGCAUUGUAAGCAUACCCCAAGACAGCCAUUUUUCAAGGACAAUACUUGUAGACCUUUCAUGAAUAUUUUGGUAUUUGGGGGGGGGGGGGUGUGAUUUUUGAAAAGCGCUAAAGAAUAGUGUUUAACUGAAGUUUUCUUUUAAUCUUUAUGAACCUUGUAUAAUUUGUGCUGCCUAAAAUUAAAGGUUUAGACAAUGAGGUGGGCCUCACAGACUGAGCUAUAUCAGUUAUGGUGAUCAAUUCCAUCUGCUUUUGUUUUCAUCUCGGCAGAGUCUGAUCACUGAAGACUUUCUGUAGUGAAACCUCUAUCCACCCCUUGCCCCAAGUCCAGGAUUGGGGCUCAUCCUGUCCCCACAUUCCCAGUGCUCUGGACACUCUCUCUUAAAUCCCCCUUGACCAAACCACGUCAGGCUUAAUCUCUUAUAAUCGCUUCUUCUGUGGGAUGCAGGGCAGGAAGUUUCAUGACAAGAAUGAAAAAAGCCAAAAAAAACAAAAGCCAAACAAUACAGUCUAGUCAUAUUUGUUUCAAGUAGUGCCUCAAUAAGCCUCAUAAAUGCCAACAAUUCAGUCGGUGGCCUUCUGCUGUUUUGGAAUAUGACCUACAUCACCAGGCUCUAAUUCAGUUCCGGGCCGGUUCUGUGAUUUGCUCCCACUCGUUCCUCACUUAACUGGAGUCUGUUUAGUACUUUAUUCAUCUGUUGCGUUUAUAAAUAUGUGUUUCCUGAUAAACAUUACAUUGAAAUGUGCACAGAAAUGAGUGAGCGUAAUGCUAUAUGUACUUAAAGAUGUAGUUCACUAUUUUAAAAAAAGGUCUACAAAAUAUGCUCUUACAGUAUUGCAGCAACAAUUUUUAUAACAAACUGAAUUAAUGGUCCCUGAUGAAACAGUAUUUUUUUCUCUUUUACUUUUUUCUGAUAUUAGAGUGUCCUGGUCGCUGUUUAUAUUUCGCUCUCUUUCUCCCAGUCUGGCCCUCCAUGCUUUACUGUGUGAGAGGGAAACAGAUGAAAAACAGACAAACUAGAAUAUUUCAACUAUUUCUGUGGCUAGAAGAGCUUGAACCACUGGUUUGCACAAUGUAAAUUGAUUAAAUGCAGGGACAUGCAUCGCUUUUGCUUGAAUUUGGGAGCCAGGAUGUACACUACUUGGACAACAUAAUGUUCAGAAAGUUGAAUUUAUGGGUUCAAUCACUGAAAUCUCAAGAUAGGAUAUUAUAAAUGUUAACAUAACAGAGGUGUUUACCUUUCCUAUAAUAUUUAGGUAGGAAGAGCAGCAGGGAUAAGAGGUAAUGGAAUGUUACACGCACCAAAAGGUUACAAUGAUGUUCUCUUGGGUAAGGUAUUGUAAAAUCUAGUCACGUUCCUUUAAAAUUUGUAUACUCUACAGCAUACAGUAUAAGCCACUGAAUGAAAGGUCCUAACUUUGCCUGGUAUGGAUGUAUUGGAAAUGGUGAUUUCCAGAUGUGACCCAACUGGUUUCUUAGGGAUAUGUGGGAGAGUGGCACUUUAGUGUUUAAGAUGUUUUAUAUAUUGUGAUUGUGUAAUCUCAGUCAUCUUGUUUUGUACAAUCAAGUUUAUGUUAAUCUUUUCUGAUUAUAAUGUUAAUCCCUCAUUCAUUACUGUAUACUGGAUAAACAUUUGGGAAGUAGGUUUAAGAAUGGAUGAAUGAUGUCAAUGUUUGUCACAACCAUGCAGCAUAGAUGGCACUGUGGAACAGAGAGAAGGGCGUUAUUAAUCAAUCAAGUAAUAAUUGUGCCUGCCUGAGUAUUGAGAUGAUCUUUAUUAUGAACUAGUUGUGCAGUGCAAGCUGUGGUUCAGUGGUCCAGUGCCAGUAUAACAAAUGCUAUAUUAAAUGUUUCAUAUUAAUGUAAAAUACAGUAAUAUAUUAAAUUAGGAUUUAAAUAGAGUAAAACCCAAUCCUUUGUAUGUAUGACACUGAACUCAAGAUCACACAUAGAUAAACAUGAGCUGCCAGGGAGCAUCCUUAGAUCUGUGUAGUCACACAAACAUACAAAGAACCUGGUGUCCCUCCAACCAAAUCUAAAGUCAAUGAAUUACAAUAAUAUUAUUGUGCAUCAGCCUAUCACAGGGACUGAACACACUACAUCCCCCUCACAGCAGGCAAACAGCAAGCUGCAAGGGCCCAAGUUGAUCCCCCAGGGGUGCCAACAUAGUAACUGGACAAGAUGCCCUGGUGGUAUAAACCGACUUUACCCCUUUACGGGCUGAAACUGCACUCCUGGCAGUGAGUCCUCCCAGCAUUGCAUCUGGACAAGCCACUUGGGAGUCCAGUGCUCAACACUCUUCUGGCUUGUUUUCACAGUUUAUGAUGGUUAACAAGGGCUGUGGCAUGACAGGGUAAAGCCAUGGCAUGUUGCAAAUGGUAGUAAUAAGGAAACUAGCAACCACAUGUGAGUGAAAGAACAUGAAGCAGUUUACUGCCUGGAAGAAGCUUGAAGGUAACGGGCAGCUAAAAAUAAUGUGGGCCAUGAGAAACGGAAUAAAUGACCUUCCAAUCCAUAGUAGCCUAUCAGCAAAUGUCCUGGAAUUCGUAAGAGAAAUUUGUGAUUGCUACAGGAUCACUGGUUUAGACAAUCAACUAGUGUUUUUUGCCUGUCUUGCUGUUGACUCCACAGACCUAAAUUCUAGGAUGGAUGAUGGUGUAGAAUAUUUCUGAGGUCAUUCUGAGGGCUAUACUUCUUACGCUUAUAGAUGUGCCACCUGCUGGCACAAGAGCUGCAGAUCUGCCCAGCAAGUUCUUCUCACCAGCUUUGGUAUUUUGAUUAAACUUCAGUCACAGGUCACAUACCACUAAUACGUUUCAUACACCUGAGGAGAUUCACAAAAUGCAACAUUCAGACUAAAAUUCAGUUUGAGAACUGUUGAUUUUAGAAACAUUUGUAUUUGAGUCCAUAAAACUCAGUUCGUUAUGCUGCUUGGAGUUGCACUGUGUUUAUGUUUCGCAAAACAAUAUGUGACAAAUAAUGGGUUGUGGUAUGGUUUUUCAUAAGUCUUUUUCUCAACCUUUUAUUGACUUACCUACAAGGGACACAGCUAGUAAUUGAACUGUGACAGAAUUCUCUGAGAAUUAUUUUUUCUUGUAUCUAUUCCCAAUACAUCCUGGAGUCAGGUGAUAUCGCCAUUCAUUACCAUAGUUUUGGAUGAAUCAUUCUGUGACUCUAACUAACAAAGGAAAGCGCAGUACUUGAGGUUCACGGAAAACAACGUGGUCCACAAGACAGUACACUUCAGAGCAAGAUCGUUUGCUAUAGGCUCCUCUGCCCAUACUCUCAGAGUCUUUGAAUCUUAAACAAAGCCAAAGAACGCAUCUAAGGAACCUACUGCCAUUUUGCUUUGACAUGUUCACUGAAGUACUGUAUGUGUCCUCCAUCAUGUCGAUGUGACCCAGAGGUUCAAGAACGCAAUUUGAGCAGGAAAUACAAGGAAAGUUAUGGAUAUUUCUGAGGUCUCAUACGGGCCAUGUUCUGGAUGCUGUUUUUGGGCAGUUGGACCCAGCUGGGGCCUGGUCUACUGGAGAGUUAUGGGAAAAGCUGUAAUGUGGGGGUUACGUUGGAUAAAAGCUCACGUCCAGUGACACUGCAUGAAGCCAGAGAGCUGGCGUACUCUAUUGGCCCUCAGAGGGGACAUUGAGUUUCUGGAAUUGAUGCACCCAAAUGGAAACAGCCUAACGUGUCCUACUUCCUUGGUUGAUAUCUUUCCAUACAGAUGGCCUGUCUUUGGUGAUACGAUAUGAGCAAACUCUUAGAGAUCUUGUAGUACAAUCUGUGUCACUGUAACAUCAUAUUCCUGCAUCCAGUAACUUCAGAAAUUAUCAAUUGGUCAUGGGAUAAAUUUUUUGCAAGCCCGUGUUUGGCACACUUAGUUUAAUGAGAAGGCUGUAUCCUGUUUUUUGUGAAGUCAGCAAAUGCAGGCCUCGUGACUGGGGGCACCGGGCCAAUAUGACAGGGUGCAGCUGUGGUUUCAUUCUGGACACAGAGGGGUCAGAACAGGGUCUGGAAUGAUGGAGCUCUUAAAGAAUAACGACUCCUAACAGGAAUAUCCCCAAAUCUUUUCAGUGGCCUGACAUAACUUGUUUCCAGAGUCUUCAAAUUUCCAGGCAAAUAACAGAGUUAAAGGAAACAGGGAGUGUUUUAUUGCAAGUCGCAAAACUGUGGGACCAUCAGCCACUUUUUUGCACCCUGUCUUUAUGCACUUCUGCAAGGUCCUGUCUGGAGCAGGGAGAAUAGGUUGGCUUUUCUAAAGACAUUUUCUAACUUGUACCCUCUGUAAAUGUCCAUCUCCUUUCCAGGAAAUCUGAACAUCUAAUAAAUGGUGCUUGAUGAGAUUUCAUGUUCUAAUUCCAGGAAGGGUGCAUUUAGCAGCAGAGUUUUCAACUGGUUAAAUGUAGUUAUCAUAAUCUGUGAUUUUUUUUUUGUAAUAAUACUCUGCUCUUUGCAACCUGUAUGUACAAAUAAAAGCAACUGCACCGGUCUAUUUCAAUUUGUUAAAUGCUGCUUUAGCUCUUAGAAGUCAUUUCCCUUGAUGCAUACACAAAUCCUCAGAUAAGGCUAGCCUAAUUGUCGUCCCUAUUACACUAAAUGCUGUGCUCCCCGUGUAAACCACACUAAAUUACCACCAGAUGGGAGAUUAAGGCCUUGCAGAGGAGAUGUCGGCUCCAAGCGACGCUCCUCCCGAAGGGGAAGAAAAAUUCAUAUUUCCUGAUUGCAAUUGCACCCUCUCCCUUGGGACGGAGCAUUAUAGUGCGUAAAAAAAAAAAGGAGCAGUGCUGUCAUCACAACGACCACAGGGUCUCCAUCACAGAUUUGAAACAGCAGCUGAGGGCUUCCACAAGAGCAGCACAUCACUUUGAAUCUAGGUAAAAUGCAUAUGGACAAACAGCGCUGCUGACAUUGCCCAGUUUCCCCCGAGUUGCCUCUGGCCCCCAAAAGCCAUUCUUUUAGGGCAAUUGCCACAACGAUGGCUUUGUCCUGAUACUCAGAUCAGAUCUUAGAUCCUCUGCAUCUGGCCUUAUACCAGGUCCUAUUCAGAAGAAACCUCAAAGCCCAA
Molecule: long non-coding RNA, 5943 nt
Organism: Paramormyrops kingsleyae
Lineage: Eukaryota; Metazoa; Chordata; Actinopteri; Osteoglossiformes; Mormyridae
Source: RefSeq, a predicted model, not a curated record